This 326-nucleotide small nuclear RNA is filed under the name Erinaceus europaeus (western European hedgehog). RNAcentral's name for it is "7SK RNA". It matches the Rfam family "7SK RNA". Rfam says of the family: 7SK was discovered as an abundant small nuclear RNA in the mid-70s but a possible function has only recently been suggested. Two independent studies have found that 7SK RNA binds the CDK9/cyclin T complex (known as elongation factor P-TEFb). Lineage: Eukaryota; Metazoa; Chordata; Mammalia; Eulipotyphla; Erinaceidae. The record is from Rfam by way of RNAcentral.
GGAUGUGAGGGCGAUCUGGCUGUGACAUCUGUCACCCCACUGAUCACCAGAUUUGGCUGAUCUGGCUGGCUAGGCGGGUGUCCCCUUCUUCCCUCACCGCUCCAUGUGCAUCCCUCCCGAAGCUGCUCACUAGGUCAAAGAGAACAGCCUUCCCUGAAUAGAGACGGACCAGUCUUUGGUCAAAGAUAUACGAAUAGCUGCACUCCCCUGCUAGAACCUCCAAAAAAACAAGCUCUCCAGAGCUGGACGGUAGCCAGCAGGUUAAGCGCACAUGGCACAAAGCGCAAGGGCCGGCGGCGUAAGCAUCCCAGUUCAAGCCCCCAGCU